UGGCUCAGGAUGAACGCUAGCUACAGGCUUAACACAUGCAAGUCGAGGGGCAGCAUUGGAGUAGCAAUACUCAGAUGGCGACCGGCGCACGGGUGAGUAACACGUAUCCAACCUGCCGCUUACUCGGGGAUAGCCUUUCGAAAGAAAGAUUAAUACCCGAUGGUAUAAAGAGUUCGCAUGUUCUCUUUAUUAAAGAAUUUCGGUAAGCGAUGGGGAUGCGUUCCAUUAGAUAGUUGGCGGGGUAACGGCCCACCAAGUCUACGAUGGAUAGGGGUUCUGAGAGGAAGGUCCCCCACAUUGGAACUGAGACACGGUCCAAACUCCUACGGGAGGCAGCAGUGAGGAAUAUUGGUCAAUGGACGAGAGUCUGAACCAGCCCAAGUAGCGUGAAGGAUGACUGCCCUAUGGGUUGUAAACUUCUUUUAUAAGGGAAUAAAGUGAGGGACGUGUCCCUUUUUGUAUGUACCUUAUGAAUAAGGAUCGGCUAACUCCGUGCCAGCCGCCGC
Molecule: ribosomal RNA, 506 nt
Filed under: uncultured bacterium
Lineage: Bacteria
Description: bacterial SSU rRNA
Rfam family: Bacterial small subunit ribosomal RNA
Source: RNAcentral